This 268-nucleotide long non-coding RNA is filed under the name Lathyrus oleraceus (garden pea). RNAcentral describes it as "Pisum sativum (pea) long non-coding RNA (PSAT_LNC016752)". Lineage: Eukaryota; Viridiplantae; Streptophyta; Magnoliopsida; Fabales; Fabaceae. The record is from RNAcentral.
ACCUUCCCAUUGCAUAACCAACCCCCUUACCCUAGAUCUCUGACUCUCUUUUACUAGUUUUUGAUUCGAUAAAACUUUAGGUUUUUGUUCGCUUUCUAACCAUUCCUUUGGAUAAAUAGAAGUGCGGUGGCGACUCGACUUGUAUGAUUUACCUUGGAUUUAGUCAAUAUCUCCAAUGGUAACGAAUACCCCGCUAUACAAAGUCAUUUACUUUUAUGAACUUUAAAUUCAAGCCAUUUAUCAUUUGUCAUUAUAAAUAUCAUUUAAC